CGGCCGGGUAAACAACGACACACACGUUCCGACACAUGGCUCGGGGUGCUUCCAGGCGCUUCCUCUCUAUUUAUUAGGGAACGGGAGACCGGAGGUUGGGUCAUGAGGGGACGUGGAGGCCUAAC
Molecule: small RNA, 125 nt
Rfam family: t44 RNA
About the family: This family consists of a number of bacterial RNA genes of between 135 and 170 bases in length. The t44 gene is found between the map and rpsB genes in all species in the full alignment apart from Shigella flexneri. The function of this RNA is unknown.
Source: Rfam